This 253-nucleotide ribosomal RNA is filed under the name uncultured bacterium. Its description in RNAcentral is "partial 16S ribosomal RNA". It matches the Rfam family "Bacterial small subunit ribosomal RNA", at positions 524 to 776 of the family's 1533-position model. The record is from RNAcentral.
UACGGAGGGUGCAAGCGUUAAUCGGAAUUACUGGGCGUAAAGCGUGCGCAGGCGGUUUGCUAAGACAGGUGUGAAAUCCCCGGGCUUAACCUGGGAACUGCGCUUGUAACUGGCAAGCUUGAGUGUGGCAGAGGGGGGUGGAAUUCCACGUGUAGCAGUGAAAUGCGUAGAUAUGCGGAGGAACACCGAUGGCGAAGGCAAUCCCCUGGACCUGUACUGACGCUCAUGCACGAAAGCGUGGGGAGCAAACAGG